Molecule: ribosomal RNA, 249 nt
Filed under: Catorhintha guttula
Lineage: Eukaryota; Metazoa; Arthropoda; Insecta; Hemiptera; Coreidae
Description: partial large subunit ribosomal RNA
Source: RNAcentral
CAGUAUUCUGACUGUGCGAAGGUAGCAUAAUCAUUUGUCUUUUAAUUAAAGGCUAGUAUGAAUGGUUGGACGAGGAAUUAACUUUCUUUAUUUAAAUUUUGUGAAUUUGAUUUUUGAGUCAAAAAGCUUAAAUUUUUUUGCAAGACGAGAAGACCCUAUAGAAUUUUAUUUUUAAUUUAAUGUUAGUUAUUUUGUUAUUUGAUUAAUUAAUAUUAAAUUAAAAAUUUUGUUGGGGCGACAAUGAAAAUU